RNAcentral lists this ribosomal RNA (620 nucleotides) under uncultured Sphingobacteriaceae bacterium. RNAcentral describes it as "bacterial SSU rRNA". It matches the Rfam family "Bacterial small subunit ribosomal RNA", at positions 41 to 658 of the family's 1533-position model. Lineage: Bacteria; Pseudomonadati; Bacteroidota; Sphingobacteriia; Sphingobacteriales; Sphingobacteriaceae. The record is from RNAcentral.
GGCAGGCCUAAUACAUGCAAGUCGAACGGUAGACAGUAGCAAUAUUGUUGAGAGUGGCGCACGGGUGCGUAACGCGUAUGCAACCUACCUCCCUGCGGGGGAUAGCCUGGAGAAAUUCAGAUUAAUACCGCAUAACAUUAUGAUACGGCAUCGUAUUAUAAUUAAAGGAUUUAUUCACAGGGAGAUGGGCAUGCGUGCCAUUAGUUAGAUGGAGAGGUAACGGCUCCCCAUGACUACGAUGGCUAACUGGUCUGAGAGGAUGAUCAGUCACACUGGCACUGAGACACGGGCCAGACUCCUACGGGAGGCAGCAGUAGGGAAUAUUGGUCAAUGGACGCAAGUCUGAGCCAGCCAUGCCGCGUGCAGGAAGAAGGUCCUCUGGAUUGUAAACUGCUUUUGUCCGGGAAUAAAUCUAUCUUAAUAGGUAGUUGAAGGUACCGGAAGAAUAAGCACCGGCUAACUCCGUGCCAGCAGCCGCGGUAAUACGGAGGGUGCAAGCGUUGUCCGGAUUUAUUGGGUUUAAAGGGUGCGUAGGCGGCCUUUUUAANNCAGUGGUGAAAGACGGUGGCUCAACCAUCGCAGNGCCAUUGAUACUGAAAGGCUUUGANUACAGUUGAGGU